Gadus macrocephalus (Pacific cod) is the source of this 975-nucleotide long non-coding RNA. RefSeq lists it as uncharacterized. The transcript has 3 exons. The record is from RefSeq and is a predicted model, not a curated record. NCBI's taxonomy places the organism in Eukaryota, Metazoa, Chordata, Actinopteri, Gadiformes, Gadidae.
UCCACCCAGAAGACAAGCCAGGCUGGAGCCCCUCCUGUCGGUGAGCGGCCCAAGGGCCCCAGCGGCCUCUGCAAGUCCUCCAGAGUCAGUCCUCUGCUAGUCCUUGCUGUGCCGGCUCCUGACGCCUACAACAGCAACCCAGCCGGGAUCUCCACCCAGGAGACAAGUCAGACUGGAGCCCCUCCUGUCGGUGAGCGGUCCAAGCGGCCCAGCCUCCUCAGCAAGAUGGUGUCCUCCAUGGCCAAAGCCAUUGGAAAGACCUUCACUCCCUCCGCCCCCUGCACAACCCUUUUGUGACGGCUUCCUAACCCCCUAACCCAGGCCGAUCUAACUCGUAGCCUGGAUUACUAAUUAGGAGGUGAGUCUGGCACAAUCGCCACCAAAACGGCUCCAGGCACCCAAGCCUGCCAUGACUUUGCUGAUGCCCCUCAGCUCUAACACACUAGCGCUCUCUAAAGUCCAAAGGUAGGGCGGUUGUCUGUGGCUGGUUGUCAGCGAAGCGUUGCCAAGAGAAGGAAAUGAAUUGGCUGAGGCCAAGACCAGACAGUCUUUGGCCUCUGCCCCAGCCUCAGGGGCUGGACUAUCUCGGGCUGCUGCAUCCUGAGGCAUCUCCGCCUAGAAGUCUGGGAGCCCUUCCCAGUGGGGAGCGACGCAGGUGCCCCACCACCAUCCCCAGGAUGGCUCCUUGAACCCCAUCUUUUGAGGAAUUGGAUGAUGCCGGACCCAUGACAACCCUGCUGAGGCUCAAGCCCAGGUCUUUGGCUUUGCCCCUUCUGCCUCCCUGAAGCUAUUGACUAAAAAAGGGGUCAAGUCAGUCCUCUGCUAGUCCCCGCUGUGCCGCCUCCUGACACCGACCACAACAACCUAGCCGGGUUCUCCACCCAGAAGACAAGUCCGACUGGAGCCCCUCCUGUCGGUGAGCGGCCCAAGCGCCCCAGCAGCCUCCGCAAGAUGCUGUCCUCCAUGGCCAAAGCU